AUUAAAUAUUGCAUUUUAACUCGUAUAUCCCCUGAAUAUGGCAGGGAGUAUCUACCGGAAGCCGUAAAUUUCCGACUAUGAGUGAUUUAUAGCUAUGC
This 98-nucleotide non-coding RNA is filed under the name Clostridiales bacterium oral taxon 876 str. F0540. RNAcentral's name for it is "Purine riboswitch aptamer". It matches the Rfam family "Purine riboswitch aptamer". From Rfam's summary of the family: Riboswitches are metabolite binding domains within certain messenger RNAs that serve as precision sensors for their corresponding targets. Allosteric rearrangement of mRNA structure is mediated by ligand binding, and this results in modulation of gene expression. The record is from Rfam by way of RNAcentral. RNAcentral also lists the same sequence under 1 other name. Lineage: Bacteria; Bacillati; Bacillota; Clostridia; Eubacteriales.